RNAcentral lists this ribosomal RNA (492 nucleotides) under uncultured bacterium. RNAcentral describes it as "partial 16S ribosomal RNA". It matches the Rfam family "Bacterial small subunit ribosomal RNA", at positions 29 to 507 of the family's 1533-position model. The record is from RNAcentral.
AGUGAACGCUGGCGGUAGGCCUAACACAUGCGAGUCGAACGGCAGCACAGUAAGAGCUUGCUCUUACGGGUGGCGAGUGGCGGACGGGUGAGGAAUACAUCGGAAUCUACUUUUUCGUGGGGGAUAACGUAGGGAAACUUACGCUAAUACCGCAUACGACCUACGGGUGAAAGCAGGGGAUCUUCGGGCCUUGCGCGAUUGAAUGAGCCGAUGUCGGAUUAGCUAGUUGGCGGGGUAAAGGCCCACCAAGGCGACGAUCCGUAGCUGGUCUGAGAGGAUGAUCAGCCACACUGGAACUGAGACACGGUCCAGACUCCUACGGGAGGCAGCAGUGGGGAAUAUUGGACAAUGGGCGCAAGCCUGAUCCAGCCAUACCGCGUGGGUGAAGAAGGCCUUCGGGUUGUAAAGCUCUUUUGUUGGGAAAGAAAAGCAGCAGGUUAAUACCCCGCUGUUCUGACGGUACCCAAAGAAUAAGCACCGGCUAACUUCGUG